GGAUCCAGACUUUGAUUAUGGCUCAGGACGAACGCUGGCGGCGCGCCUAACACAUGCAAGUCGAACGGAGAUUACAGGCGGAAGUUUUCGGAUGGAAGCUUGUAAACUUAGUGGCGGACGGGUGAGUAACACGUGAGCAACCUGCCUAUCAGAGGGGGAUAACGAUUGGAAACGAUCGCUAAUACCGCAUGACAUAGCGGAACCGCAUGGUUCUGUUAUCAAAGAUUUUAUCGCUGAUAGAUGGGCUCGCGUCCGAUUAGAUAGUUGGUGGGGUAACGGCCUACCAAGUCGACGAUCGGUAGCCGGACUGAGAGGUCGAACGGCCACAUUGGGACUGAGACACGGCCCAGACUCCUACGGGAGGCAGCAGUGGGGGAUAUUGCACAAUGGGGGAAACCCUGAUGCAGCGACGCCGCGUGAGGGAAGACGGUCCUCUGGAUUGUAAACCUCUGUCUUCGGGGACGAAACGAGACGGUACCCGAGGAGGAAGCCACGGCUAACUACGUGCCAGCAGCCGCGGUAAUACGUAGGUGGCAAGCGUUGUCCGGAAUUACUGGGUGUAAAGGGAGCGUAGGCGGGCAGGCAAGUCAGGCGUGAAAUAUAUCGGCUCAACCGGUAACGGCGCUUGAAACUGCAGGUCUUGAGUGAAGUAGAGGUUGGCGGAAUUCCUAGUGUAGCGGUGAAAUGCGUAGAUAUUAGGAGGAACACCAGUGGCGAAGGCGGCCAACUGGGCUUUUACUGACGCUGAGGCUCGAAAGUGUGGGGAGCAAACAGGAUUAGAUACCCUGGUAGUCCACACCGUAAACGAUGAUUACUAGGUGUGGGGGGACUGACCCCUUCCGUGCCGGAGUUAACACAAUAAGUAAUCCACCUGGGGAGUACGGCCGCAAGG
This 892-nucleotide ribosomal RNA is filed under the name uncultured Bacillota bacterium. RNAcentral describes it as "bacterial SSU rRNA". It matches the Rfam family "Bacterial small subunit ribosomal RNA", at positions 1 to 893 of the family's 1533-position model. Lineage: Bacteria; Bacillati; Bacillota. The record is from RNAcentral.